GUUUGUCUUCAGGGCAGGGUGAAAUUCCCGACCGGCGGUUAAAAAGUCCGCGACCUACUUGCAAAAGUAGCCGAUCCAGUGUGAUUCUGGAACCGAUAGUAUAGUCUAGAUGGAAGAAGACAGUC
Molecule: non-coding RNA, 125 nt
Filed under: Lapidilactobacillus concavus
Lineage: Bacteria; Bacillati; Bacillota; Bacilli; Lactobacillales; Lactobacillaceae
Also listed under: 1 other name
Description: Lactobacillus concavus FMN sequence
Rfam family: FMN riboswitch aptamer (RFN element)
About the family: The RFN element is a highly conserved domain that is found frequently in the 5'-untranslated regions of prokaryotic mRNAs that encode for flavin mononucleotide (FMN) biosynthesis and transport proteins. This element is a metabolite-dependent riboswitch that directly binds FMN in the absence of proteins.
Source: RNAcentral